UGUACGUGUCAUGUAUGGUAGUGACGCACAGCGCAUAAACUUCAUUGAAACAUGGCGGCUCACUAUGAGUUUCAUUGCAUGGACGUCAGGUACAGACGAAGAGACGGAGAGAAUUGAAAAUUAAACCAUGCACUUGUCAAUUCAAGCUUUCACCGAAAGACGACUAUGAAAUGUUAUAACUACAUACGAGACCAACAAAUUGUCUUCGUCUAUUUCAGAUUUUCGGAAGUGAGAGGACAGAUUUUGGCAGGAUAAUUCUCUUUCAGGAUCUAAAGAUUUAGCGGAUUGCUCGGUUACGGCUUAGAUGCAAGUGCAAGUAAUUACAGCCGUGAUGCUCUAGACUCCGCUGUUGAUUAAGGAUGCAAGACAAACAGUUGAGAAGUACCCAUGGAAAUUGGAUUGCUCAAGGA
Acanthaster planci (crown-of-thorns starfish) is the source of this 410-nucleotide long non-coding RNA. The record is from RefSeq and is a predicted model, not a curated record. NCBI's taxonomy places the organism in Eukaryota, Metazoa, Echinodermata, Asteroidea, Valvatida, Acanthasteridae.